AUUCUAUGUCCCCCCUCCCUUCUUACCUUUAUUUAGGAGGAGGGGGGACAUUUCCCUGGUGGUCCGGUGGGGGAUUCCCUGGUGGUCCGGUGGGGGAUUCCCUGGUGGUCAGGUGGUCAGAGUGAACUCUAGCCCGCAGCUCCCGGGCUAGAGUUCACUCUCGCGAGAUUUGGAGCGUUGCCGUGGUAACCGCGGCAACGCUCCAAAUCUCGAGAGAGAGGAGGACCCGGAGGAGCUGCAGACUGAGCUCCGGGUCCUCUCUCUCACUCCCUCCCUCCGCCGCCGGCUGUAAGCACAGUGCUUGCCGACCGGGGAGGGAGAUCUCUGAUCUUCCUCCCCGGUCCGCAGGCACAUUGCAGGGCUGGCACUUGGGCAAUGCCAGCCCUGCGUUAGCCGGCAGGGGGGAAUCUCGGGGGGGGCAAUUGCCCCGUUGCCCCCCCCCUGGAUCCGCCAAUG
Non-coding RNA from Pelobates cultripes (western spadefoot toad), 456 nucleotides. The record is from the annotation of a GenBank genome assembly. Lineage: Eukaryota; Metazoa; Chordata; Amphibia; Anura; Pelobatidae.